GCCCCAGAACCGUGAGAAAACGGCCUCUUACGGAUCGGGUAAUUUCAUGUAAAGGAG
This 57-nucleotide non-coding RNA is filed under the name unclassified sequences. RNAcentral describes it as "L20-Deltaproteobacteria ribosomal protein leader". It matches the Rfam family "L20-Deltaproteobacteria ribosomal protein leader". The record is from RNAcentral.